UGGUGGUCACUACGGAAGGAACUUUGAAGAGUUCAAGGGGCACUGUUCUUGCUGUGGAGUAGACUUCUUCCAAAAGAAAGUCUACUCGAAAGAAGAAGAUAAAAUUCACUAAGAAGCAGAAGAAAGAGAGCAAGCCAAAGAAGAAAGUUUCUAAGAAGAUCGAAGUAAAGGGAAAGUAUUUCUACUGUGAUGCUAAAGGCC
This 201-nucleotide long non-coding RNA is filed under the name Elaeis guineensis (African oil palm). RNAcentral describes it as "long non-coding RNA (EGUI_LNC058702)". The record is from RNAcentral. Lineage: Eukaryota; Viridiplantae; Streptophyta; Magnoliopsida; Arecales; Arecaceae.